GUGGGUGGGAUGUUGGGACUGGGAGUAGCAUGAGCUCUGCUCCUCCCCGGAUUUCUCCAGCCAGAUUUCUUGGUGGAUGAACUGUGCCUGGAUGCAUCUCUAGAGAUUAUGGAUUCGGAUGGUGCCAAUGGAGGGAUGGGGAUGGUGUGUGUCCUGAGAAUCUCCCUGGACUUGAGCAGCAGACAGAGCGCCAGGAGGGAGGUGCAUCCAGAGCAUGUGGUUUGCAGCUCGGAGCUCAAUUACCCCGACAAGAGGAUGGAUGGGAGAGCACUGCGUGCCCGGGGCCGGUCUGGGAACCCCUCCGGAGCGUGGGGAGCUCGGGGUGGUGCGUUUUGUGCAAGGGUUUCUCCGGGCAGGGGGAGAAGCCAGCCCUCAGUAUGGGCUGUGCUCAGAGCAGCAUCUGGCGGGGGCUGCGGAAGCGGCGCUGGGCCGUUGUGUCACACGGAAAAUCUUUUGGAGGGAGCGGGUGGAAUUUCAGCUCGGCAAACCAUUAAAAUAGCAGCGAUUCUGCACCAAAUAAAUUAAGGCUGAUGAUCUGAGACUGGUAAAGCUAAUGAUAGAAAGGGGUCCUGUCCUGGAAAGGGAUUUGUCUAGCAGGAGCUGAGCUGAGAGCAUCUGAACUCCAUUAGCUCUGAGGGCUCUAGAGGCAGCAGGGUCUGCCCGCGAGCACCUCGGCUGCGGGGUGUGGGAGCCCUGCACUGGCACCAUUCAUCUCACCCAGAGACCAGUGCCCACCAGCAGGCCACAACUGGGAGGAAUUAAGAGCUGUGCAGGCACGAAAUGCAUCUCUGGUUUGGAAGUGUGCUCCCAUCAAUUUACCCCCGCAGUUGGGGCUGGUUCUAAGUGGAGAGGGCUCAGUCUCACCUCAUUCCUAACCCGGGCUGAUACUGAUUGGGCUUGUGAUAUGUG
RNAcentral lists this long non-coding RNA (909 nucleotides) under Numida meleagris (helmeted guineafowl). RNAcentral describes it as "lncRNA (ENSNMEG00000010991.1)". The record is from RNAcentral. Lineage: Eukaryota; Metazoa; Chordata; Aves; Galliformes; Numididae.